CAGUCGGUUUCCUGUGUGGUCUUGUUUGGCGUGCGUUAGCCGAGCUACGAGUGCUCUGAUUCUUCUCUGGUUAGAGAAGAUACGUAUGCAUAGGAUGCGACAUCCUAGCGAGCACGUUUCCCCUGUCCCGAACUACGUCGACUCUGAUGUCUGUGCUUGACAGGCUAAGUAGGCCCAGGAUGCGAUAUCCUGCCGAGUCCC
This 201-nucleotide long non-coding RNA is filed under the name Lathyrus oleraceus (garden pea). RNAcentral's name for it is "Pisum sativum (pea) long non-coding RNA (PSAT_LNC025261)". The record is from RNAcentral. Lineage: Eukaryota; Viridiplantae; Streptophyta; Magnoliopsida; Fabales; Fabaceae.